RNAcentral lists this long non-coding RNA (563 nucleotides) under Manihot esculenta (cassava). RNAcentral's name for it is "long non-coding RNA (MESC_LNC002706)". Lineage: Eukaryota; Viridiplantae; Streptophyta; Magnoliopsida; Malpighiales; Euphorbiaceae. The record is from RNAcentral.
AGGUUCGGCCGCCGAACCUCAAGUUCAGCCGCCGAACAUGCAUGCCUUCGGGAGCGCCUUUAGACCCCCGAAAGCAUAAGUGAGGAAAGUCCAGGUUCGGCCGCCGAACAUGGCAUGCAUGCGGAGGCACGUUCGGCCCCUGAACGUGGCCUGGCCAGCCACUAUAAAAGGGUCCCUUAGCCGAAAACGGGCGAGCUUUUUCCCCAUUUCCGGCCAAGGUGAGUUCUCCGCCACCCCUCACCGAUCUUGAGUCUUUUCCUUCAGAUCUUUCGAGUUUUUCACAAGUUUUUACUUUGUUUUGAAGAUUUUUGAGUUUUAAGCAAGUUUUGGAGCUUUGAGGUUCAAGAACCCAAAAAUCUCCCACCUCCGAGUUUAAAACGUCUCUCUCUCGAUCUUCAAGAGGUAAGAGCCGAUCUUAAGCUCAUUUCAUGUUUAAAGUAAGUUUUAUGCAAGAUCUAUGGGGUAGAAUGCAUGUUUAGCUCAUGGUUAGGUUAUGGGUUUUAUUUGUGUUUUUGGACAAUAUGAGUUGCUUGUGUGUUGUAGUUGGGGUUUUUGAUGGUUUN